Molecule: long non-coding RNA, 1753 nt
Organism: Lolium rigidum
Lineage: Eukaryota; Viridiplantae; Streptophyta; Magnoliopsida; Poales; Poaceae
Exons: 5
Source: RefSeq, a predicted model, not a curated record
ACCCAGCCCGCCUCUGCCCAGUUGAAGCAAUAUGCCAAGCUCGCCGUCCAGCUCUCCGUCAAUGUUGCUUUCGUGGUUAUCGCCCAGCGACGAGGGCGACGCCGACGUGGACCCAGAAAUAUCCUAUGACGUUGCUUAAUAAGGAGGAGUCACGGCCUAAGGGGGUGAGGUAGGCAGUAUUGCAGCAUGGGAAAUCCAAGGGGAUCAACCGACGUUGUGGACUUCCUCGAGUUGAGAUCCAGCCCCAAGUUACAUGGUAUAUGCAGAGUUCUAAACUCAUAUAUUGGUUGUACAACACACCCAUGACACCACAAAGCAGUGUUAGUACCAUUUUAAAUCCCAAGUACGGCGACGCUGAGUCUCAUGCUCCAGAAGUUCAAGAUUCCCAAAGUAGAAUGUGGUAACAGAAUCACACAGGUGGCCUACUACCCGUCCCCAUCGCGCAAGUGCCCACUACAUGUCCCCGGCCUGCAGGUGUUUGCUGCCUACUUCGACCUCUAUUCCUGAAGCCAAGGUCGCUGGUCGCCUCUCCCCAAGUGCUACCGACCUCUCCCUUCCCGUGACGAGUUGCACCAAUUCAGACAAGUAAUGCAAGCAAGGGCAUGCCAUAACAAAUCACCAGCCUGUAACAAAAAACAGGCAUGCCAUUUGUGUUUCCUCAAUGAAUUCUUUGUGUAGGAUAUUAAGAAUUUUUCAGUUUAUCUAAACUUCAUUACUUUGUAUCUUUCUUUCUACCCAUCUUUGCCUUGGGCAAAUUCUGUAGAUAUUCUACCUGCUUAAUUCAUCAAGGCUAGCAAUUGUUGAUCGUAAAAAAAAAUCACUGGCUGAUGAGGUUGUUUCACUUUAAUUUCUGAAUAAGUUGUUCAAUAUGAAAUUAUUUCUGUUGUGCUACAAGUUUACCUACCAGAUAUAUUCUGAAUAAUAUGGAGCUCAAGAACAAUGUUAAGUCUCACAUGUGAGUAUGUAGGUACUCAUAUCUCAUGGGUGAUAUGCUUUAGACGGAAAACUGGUGUGUCUCUAUAAGAAAAUAAAACUAGAUGUUUGGGUAUAUCUCCAGGGAAUGUCACAUCUCCCCUGUAGGUACAAGAGAAGUUAACUUUGAAUCUGUGUAAUCUGCAUCUGAAGUAAUCACAGGAUCUAUUUGGUUAUAUCUCACAUCUUGACUGCCCUGUAGUUACAACAAGUUAAAAGUCGAGUCAUCCAGAUAAAAUUUCUGUACCACCAUGAAUGGUAUGCACUUGCUUUUACAUAAAAGUUAUCAUUGAAUUUAUUUCUUUCUAAUUUCCAUCUAUUCUCUCUCUGCUAGAACCUUAGGAUAUCUCUAUCUCAAGAAUUUCUUUUAUGCAAAUUAUUCUUGUAUAGGAGGUAAACAUUCCAGCAUAUGGUAAGCUAUGAAUCUACCGGAUUUCCUAAUCUUCGCGCUUGCAGAUGAUGUUGCCAUAAUAUAAUAAAGCAAGUAAUUUGAUAACUAGGAACCAAAUAGUAUCAUCAAGACUGCUUUCCAUUCACUUUUGUUUUGUAGGUGAAUGGGAUGUGGAAUUUAGUUCAAUAAAGGCUACAAGCGGCAGUGAACACCAGCUUUUAUAAUUUGCACCUACUUUUGUGCUGUUUGCCACUUUAUAGUUUUCCAGGCUCCCAACAAUGUAGCAAAGAAGAAAAAAAAGUAAGGCUGCUAUUGCAUUACUAUAGUAGAUCCAACAGUGUCGUAUAUAGAUUUCAUUGGUUCAAUGUGAUUAUUUGCAGUCCUAUCCUA